GAUGAACGCUGGCGGCGUGCUUAACACAUGCAAGUCGAACGGGAAACUUUUCAUUGAAGCUUCGGCAGAUUUGGUCUGUUUCUAGUGGCGGACGGGUGAGUAACGCGUGGGUAACCUGCCUUAUACAGGGGGAUAACAACCAGAAAUGGUUGCUAAUACCGCAUAAGCGCACAGGACCGCAUGGUCCGGUGUGAAAAACACCGGUGGUAUAAGAUGGACCCGCGUUGGAUUAGCUAGUUGGCAGGGUAACGGCCUACCAAGGCGACGAUCCAUAGCCGGCCUGAGAGGGUGAACGGCCACAUUGGGACUGAGACACGGCCCAGACUCCUACGGGAGGCAGCAGUGGGGAAUAUUGCACAAUGGGGGAAACCCUGAUGCAGCGACGCCGCGUGAAGGAAGAAGUAUCUCGGUAUGUAAACUUCUAUCAGCAGGG
RNAcentral lists this ribosomal RNA (433 nucleotides) under uncultured bacterium. RNAcentral's name for it is "bacterial SSU rRNA". It matches the Rfam family "Bacterial small subunit ribosomal RNA", at positions 28 to 444 of the family's 1533-position model. The record is from RNAcentral.